CUUUUAUGGAGAGUUUGAUCCUGGCUCAGGACGAACGCUGGCGGCGUGCCUAACACAUGCAAGUCGAACGGUCUGGUGUUUAACACCAAGAGUUACGUGCAAAAAGAGAAAGCCGA
This 116-nucleotide ribosomal RNA is filed under the name Dendrosporobacter quercicolus. RNAcentral's name for it is "16S rRNA. Bacterial SSU". It matches the Rfam family "Bacterial small subunit ribosomal RNA", at positions 1 to 118 of the family's 1533-position model. The record is from RNAcentral. Lineage: Bacteria; Bacillati; Bacillota; Negativicutes; Selenomonadales; Sporomusaceae.